CUCCUACGGGAGGCAGCAGCUAAGAAUCUUCCGCAAUGGGGGAAACCCUGAUCCAGCCAUUCCGCGUGAGUGAAGAAGGCCUUCGGGUUGUAAAGCUCUUUCAGGAGGGAAGAAACGAUCAUGGUUAAUAACCAUGAUUAAUGACGGUACCUUCAGAAGAAGCACCGGCUAACUACGUGCCAGCAGCCGCGGUAAUACGUAGGGUGCGAGCGUUAAUCGGAAUUACUGGGCGUAAAGCGUGCGCAGGCGGUUUAUCAAGUCUGAUGUGAAAGCCCCGGGCUUAACCUGGGAACUGCGUUGGAAACUGAUAAACUAGAGUACGGCAGAGGGGGGUAGAAUUCCACGUGUAGCAGUGAAAUGCGUAGAUAUGUGGAGGAAUACCGAUGGCGAAGGCAGCCCCCUGGGUCGAUACUGACGCUCAUGCACGAAAGCGUGGGUAGCAAACAGGAUUAGAUACCCUGGUAGUCCACGCCCUAAACGAUGUCAACUAGUUGUUGGGGAGGGAGACCUCCUUAGUAACGCAGCUAAACGCGUGAAGUUGACCGCCUGGGGAGUACGGUCGCAAGAUUAAAACUCAAAGGAAUUGACGG
Molecule: ribosomal RNA, 590 nt
Filed under: uncultured bacterium
Lineage: Bacteria
Description: bacterial SSU rRNA
Rfam family: Bacterial small subunit ribosomal RNA
Source: RNAcentral